This 253-nucleotide ribosomal RNA is filed under the name uncultured bacterium. RNAcentral describes it as "partial 16S ribosomal RNA". It matches the Rfam family "Bacterial small subunit ribosomal RNA", at positions 524 to 776 of the family's 1533-position model. The record is from RNAcentral.
UACGAAGGGGGCUAGCGUUGUUCGGAAUUACUGGGCGUAAAGGGCGCGCAGGCGGCCACGCACGUCCGUUGUGAAAUCGCCCGGCUCAACUGGGCGGGGUCAGCGGAUACGGCGUGGCUGGAGCAAGCUAGGGGGCAAUGGAAUUCCCGGUGUAGUGGUGAAAUUCGUAGAUAUUGGGAAGAACACCGGUGGCGAAGGCGGCUCUCUGGACCGAUACUGACGCUGAGGCGCGAAAGCGUGGGGAGCAAACAGG